AGCGAACGCUGGCGGCGGGCCUAACACAUGCAAGUCGAACGGACUCUUCGGGGUUAGUGGCGGACGUGGGGGUACCACCUGGUAACUAGCCCUUAAGUUCGGUGUAACUGAGUGUGACUUGAGCUCAUACCGCAUGUGCCAUUCCGGGGUAGGAUUUGUCGCUUGGGGAUCGGCGCGCGGCUGAUUAGCUUGUUGGUGAGGUAGUGGCUUACCAAGGCCUCGAUGAGUAGAUGGUCUGAGAGGAUGACCGGCCACAUUGGGACUGCGAUACGGCACAGACUACUACGGGAGGCAGAAGUGGGGAAUAUUGUACAAUGGGCGGAAGGAUGAUGCAGCAACGCCGCGUGGGGGAUGACGGCCUUCGGGUUGUAAACCGCUUUCGCCUGUGACGAAGCGUGAGUGACGGUAAUGGGUAAAGAAGCACCGGCUAACUACGUG
This 438-nucleotide ribosomal RNA is filed under the name uncultured bacterium. Its description in RNAcentral is "partial 16S ribosomal RNA". It matches the Rfam family "Bacterial small subunit ribosomal RNA", at positions 28 to 507 of the family's 1533-position model. The record is from RNAcentral.